RNAcentral lists this ribosomal RNA (498 nucleotides) under Lactococcus lactis subsp. lactis. Its description in RNAcentral is "partial 16S ribosomal RNA". It matches the Rfam family "Bacterial small subunit ribosomal RNA", at positions 346 to 836 of the family's 1533-position model. Lineage: Bacteria; Bacillati; Bacillota; Bacilli; Lactobacillales; Streptococcaceae. The record is from RNAcentral.
AUGCAGCAGNAGGGAAUCUUCGGCAAUGGACGAAAGUCUGACCGAGCAACGCCGCGUGAGUNAAGAAGGUUUUCGGAUCGUAAAACUCUGUUGGUAGAGAAGAACGUUGGUGAGAGUGGAAAGCUCAUCAAGNNACGGNAACUACCCAGAAAGGGACGGCUAACUACGUGCCAGCAGCCGCGGUNAUACGUAGGUCCCGAGCGUUGUCCGGAUUUAUUGGGCGUAAAGCGAGCGCAGGUGGUUUAUNNAGUCUGGUGUAAAAGGCAGUGGCUCAACCAUUGUAUGCAUUGGAAACUGGUAGACUUGAGUGCAGGAGAGGAGAGUGGAAUUCCAUGUGUAGCGGUGAAAUGCGUAGAUAUAUGGAGGAACACCGGUGGCGAAAGCGGCUCUCUGGCCUGUAACUGNCACUNAGGCUCGAAAGCGUGGGGAGCAAACAGGAUUAGAUACCCUGGUAGUCCACGCCGUAAACGAUNNGUGCUAGAUGUAGGGAGCUAUUAG